This is a long non-coding RNA of Oncorhynchus tshawytscha (Chinook salmon), 632 nucleotides long. The record is from Ensembl. Lineage: Eukaryota; Metazoa; Chordata; Actinopteri; Salmoniformes; Salmonidae.
GGCUGGGGUAAAAACUGUGACACCAAUCAGGCCCUCGGAUUGGAAUUGCCCACCCCUGGUUUCAGGGUUUCUAAAAUCCCCUAUGAGAAAAAUGAAUGCUGCAGUUCAUCUUUGAGGACAUUCCCACCACGGAGUGACUGACCAGUUGAAAGGGAUACAUUUACUCUGACUCAAAAUGAUUUAAAUCAUGGAGGAAGGGAGAGGCAUAUUGUCGGGGACUGAUUCCUUCUGUCAUUUCCUCCAUAUGGUUUAUCAGUGCCAGAUAAAUCACUGUGACAGCCAAACAGAAGCCAGGAAGGCCCCCAGGAGAAUUUAGCAGUACGUCCAACCGGCCUCACAACCGCAGACCACGUGUAACCAUGCCAGCCCAGGGCCUCCACAUCCGGCUUCUUCACCUGCGCGAUUGUCUGACACCAGCCACCCGGACAGCUGAUGAAACUGAGUAGUAUUUCUGUCUGUAAUAAAGCCCUUUUGUUGGGAAAAACUAAUUCUGGUGGACCUGGCUCCCAAGUGGGUGGGCCUUUGCGCUUCAAGGCCCACCCAUGGCUGAUAUCCUGCCUAGUCAUUUUAUAUCGAUAGAUUAAGGCCAAAUGAAUUUAUUUCAAUUGACUGAUUUCUUUAUAUGAACUGUA